This 1853-nucleotide long non-coding RNA is filed under the name Elaeis guineensis (African oil palm). RNAcentral's name for it is "long non-coding RNA (EGUI_LNC010573)". The record is from RNAcentral. Lineage: Eukaryota; Viridiplantae; Streptophyta; Magnoliopsida; Arecales; Arecaceae.
CUUUUUGUAACGGUCCAUUAUUUAUCAUACUCUUUUUUUAUUUUAAUAAAUUAAUUAUAUAGAUUUAAUUGAUCUUUAACUCGAAUGAAUAUUGAAAAAAAAAUAGAUAGUACCGAUAUGAUUAAUAGACAUAUUAGAUUUUAGGAUUCUCGAUUCUUUACACGUCAUCUUUAUUUAUAUAAAUCCAAGAUUAAUGAGGUUACUUUAUCACAGCAACCUAGCCAGCUUUAUAGUCAGACAACUAUUUCUACCGUUGAUGACCUUUUGCAGAUUCAGAAGAGAAAGACCGUUAACGAAAUAAAAGAGUAUCAUGAUAUAUGUUAAACUAUUGAUUUUAAAGUUGACAUCCAUCCUUCAUAUUAUCUUCAAUCUCUUAUUGGUGCAUUUCAGGAGACUAUGUGUGUGACACUCACUAUGGUGAUAAGCAUCGACACAGAGCGUAGGUGAUUUUAUAACUCUUGCAAGAAAUGUACCAAAAAAAUUAUUUCGGAUGGCUCUGGGUUUUACUGUGAGAAGUGCAAUGGGCUCGUGAUAUCUUUUGUACCUAGGUAAAAAUAUAAAACAAAUUGACUGAUGGAUAUUUAUGUUAAUAUCAUUUACACUAAUUUUAUCUCCAACCAUUUUGUAUCAGUUCAAGAUUGAGUUGAGGGUGAUUAAUGAAGCUGGUAGUGCUGUUUUCAUUAUUUUUGAUCGUCAGGCUGCUAAGUUCCUCCAGUGCACUAUUGCUGAAUUAAGAGAUUUUAUGUAUAUAAUAUGUACCUAAGAGAUGGAGUGCUGUGUCGGGUUUGAUAUAUUCUAUUCUAUUUACUGUGGUUAAUUUUUUUGUUCUCUGAUUCAACACAAAAUUCUGAUGAUAUCAAUCAAACUCCCGAGCAUUUAGAUCAAUUUCUUGACAAGAAGUUCAUUUUCAAAAUGCAAAUCACUAAUAGGAACAUUAAGGGUUAUAGCUACAUAUACUUGGUAAUGCGUAUAACCAAUGAUAAAGAUUUGAUUACAGUCUAUUGUUCUAAUAAUGAUUCAGCAUAGGUACAUAUUUAUUCGAAAUAGUAUUUUUUUUCUAAUUAUAUAUUCCUCAUAUGAUUAAUGUAAUUUUUAUUUUAGGUAUACGAGGAAGAUAUUAAUACUCAGAGCAUGAGCGGGAUGAUAUCUGCUACAAUUGAGUCUAAAGUGAGAAACACCUCUGAUGGAUUAACACCUACCAAACGUAGUUCUCCAUAAUUAAGCAACAAGUUAGAUAACAAUGAAAAUCUCACAGCCCAAAUGUCUUCCAAUACCAAGAAAAAAAUCAAAGUGGAGUAGUAGUUUUAUAUUUUAUUGGUUAAUUAAUUAGAAGUACUUUUUUCUUCUACCAUAAUGAUGUAUCUUUUUAGUGGUCUAUUUCAUAAUAAUUGUAAUUUUGUCAAACUAUAUUGGUAUUUAAUGUCUGUGCUUUUGUUAGUAUUUAUGAAUUUUUUUUAGUGUUAUUCUUGACUGUUUUAUAUAUUAUUAAGCAAUUAAGUAACAUGUUUUGUUCAAUCUUGACAUUUUCUCUAUAUAUUUUAUAUAUUUAUAUAUUUAUUUACUUUAUUGCUUAAUUUUAUUGAGCAAUUAUUGUAUUAAAAAUAAAUUGACACUGGACCUCUAACCCCUUUGCUUAGUGUAAAAUAUAUUAAUUAAAAUGACACUUGGUAUCAUUCAAUUCAUAGACCCUUUUUUUAUUAUUUAUAUUUAAAUCAUAAAAUACUUUAACUUUUGGGAUUUUUACUAAGUAUGAUACUUAAACCAAGAAUUAUAUAAUGGCAACAUUUAUAUAUCAACAAAAUAUAAUACUAUCAUCCAUGAAAAAAGAGAUAGAACUAAAAUGGAACCUACUG